RNAcentral lists this transfer RNA (81 nucleotides) under Pseudomonadota bacterium. RNAcentral describes it as "tRNA-Leu". It matches the Rfam family "tRNA". From Rfam's summary of the family: Transfer RNA (tRNA) molecules are approximately 80 nucleotides in length. Their secondary structure includes four short double-helical elements and three loops (D, anti-codon, and T loops). Lineage: Bacteria; Pseudomonadati; Pseudomonadota. The record is from RNAcentral. RNAcentral also lists the same sequence under 1 other name.
GCCGAAGUGGCGAAAUGGUAGACGCGCACGCUUCAGGAGCGUGUGGGGCAACCCAUGGAGGUUCAAAUCCUCUCUUCGGCA